RNAcentral lists this ribosomal RNA (749 nucleotides) under uncultured bacterium. RNAcentral describes it as "bacterial SSU rRNA". It matches the Rfam family "Bacterial small subunit ribosomal RNA", at positions 38 to 806 of the family's 1533-position model. The record is from RNAcentral.
GGCGGCGCGCCUAACACAUGCAAGUCGAACGGCACCCCUCUCCGGAGGGAAGCGAGUGGCGAACGGCUGAGUAACACGUGGAGAACCUGCCCCCUCCCCCGGGAUAGCCGCCCGAAAGGACGGGUAAUACCGGAUACCCCGGGGCGCCGCAUGGCACCCCGGCUAAAGCCCCGACGGGAGGGGAUGGCUCCGCGGCCCAUCAGGUAGACGGCGGGGGUGAUGGCCCACCGUGCCGACAACGGGUAGCCGGGUUGAGAGACCGACCGGCCAGAUUGGGACUGAGACACGGCCCAGACUCCUACGGGAGGCAGCAGUGGGGAAUCUUGCGCAAUGGGGGGAACCCUGACGCAGCGACGCCGCGUGCGGGACGGAGGCCUUCGGGUCGUAAACCGCUUUCAGCAGGGAAGAGUCAAGACUGUAUCUGCAGAAGAAGCCCCGGCUAACUACGUGCCAGCAGCCGCGGUAAUACGUAGGGGGCGAGCGUUAUCCGGAUUCAUUGGGCGUAAAGCGCGCGUAGGCGCCCCGGCAGGCCGGGGGUCGAAGCGGGGGGCUCAACCCCCCGAAGCCCCCGGAACCUCCGCGGCUUGGGUCCGGUAGGGGAGGGUGGAACACCCGGUGUAGCGGUGGAAUGCGCAGAUAUCGGGUGGAACACCGGUGGCGAAGGCGGCCCUCUGGGCCGAGACCGACGCUGAGGCGCGAAAGCUGGGGGAGCGAACAGGAUUAGAUACCCUGGUAGUCCCAGCCGUAAA